UACGUAGGGGGCAAGCGUUAUCCGGAUUUACUGGGUGUAAAGGGAGCGUAGACGGCCGGACAAGUCUGAAGUGAAAAUCCAGCGCUUAACGUUGGAAGUGCUUUGGAAACUGCCGGGCUAGAGUGCAGGAGGGGCAGGCGGAAUUCCUAGUGUAGCGGUGAAAUGCGUAGAUAUUAGGAGGAACACCAGUGGCGAAGGCGGCCUGCUGGACUGCAACUGACGUUGAGGCUCGAAGGCGUGGGGAGCAAACAGG
Molecule: ribosomal RNA, 253 nt
Filed under: uncultured bacterium
Lineage: Bacteria
Description: partial 16S ribosomal RNA
Rfam family: Bacterial small subunit ribosomal RNA
Source: RNAcentral